UUUUUUCUUUUUUUGAGACGGAGUCUCACUCUGUCAUCCAGGCUGGAGUGCAGUGGUGCGAUCUUGGCUCACCGCAAACUCCGCUUCCCAGGUUCAAGCGAUCCUCCUGCCUCAACCUACCAAGUAGCUGGGAUUACAAGCGUGGGGCCACCACGCACUUUUAAUUUGAAGAAAGAAAUUUGUGGCUAAAAAAACAUUUGCAGCAGGCGUGGUGGCUCAUGCCUAUAAUCCCAGCACUUUGGGAUGUCGAGACAGGAGGAUCGCAUGAGCCCUGGAGGUGGAGGCUGCAGUGAGCCGAGAUCAUGCCAUUGCACUCCAGCCUGGGUGACACAGCGAGACCCCAUCACACGCUCGCACACACACACACACACAAAUCCCCUGAAACAAAAAGAACCCCCAAAACCUUGGCCCAGGAAAUCCUGAAGGUCCCUCCAGUGCUGACAUUCUAAGACUCUAAAUCACCACAGCACGUCUUGGGUGUUCUUCUGGCCUGAGGGGUAACUUGAUGACUCUAAGUCAAGUGAUAUGGAAAGCUGCUCACUUUCCUGCAGUCCACUACAGGCUCCAGGCAAAGUUACGGGGAGAAAUUAGGAAGCUGCCCUUCAAAGUUACUCUUAAGGGUGUGGGUGGGGUAAUAGUCUCCAGAGUCCAGCUGCCCCCUAGUGGCCAAAGGCAUCAAGGGGUAUGGAUAGAGUGUUCCUUUGGGUCUAGAUUGGUAUCCAUUUAGGGCAACCUAUUCCAGAGCAUGGUUUUUCUCAACCAGCCUCAGAGACUGUGAGUUUGUAGGUAGGGGGAAAGGAGGAUGAACCUAAAAACCCUCUAUGGUUCUGGCCAUUAUACCUGACCAGGCUAUACUCCUUCUUCAACCCAAAAGCAGAAUGAUAGAAAAAGGCUCAGUAAAUUCUGGGCAUAACCCCAAAUUCAGAUCAGUUUGCUUAACUCCCAAGUCCUCUCAAGAAGGGGCUAUUGGUGGCUCAUCAGGUUCAUUUUCCCAUCCUGACCUGUAGUCUCAGAAGCAGAUUUCCAAACAAAUAACCACUUGCUAGUUCAACAGCACCAAGAGGGGUCUGGGAAGGUUUUAACACCUCCUCUCAUAAUUUACAUUAGUACUUACAUAUCCAUGAUAUCGACAGUUGGUGUUUUCUCAAAUUUAUGUAAUGUGCUUUUGCAAACAUAUCUUGAAAAAUCAUUCCCUAGUCCCUUCCUCCAACCAGUACCCCCUGCCACCCUUAAAAACUGUCUCUUUGGAAAUUCCGAAGCCAUUUCAGGCUUCAUGUAGCACUCAUAACUCUUUGCUUUGGCUAGCAAGGUGUUUUCAAGAUUAGGGGUAUAUCAGCCACCAAAAAUAAUAAAGUAGGAAACUCCAGGUCUACGUUCCUCCUAAAAAGAAACUAAUGAGCUAGAAAAACUAGCAGAAUCAGCUUUUGAAGGAAGCUGGAAUCUAGUCAAAAACUUACAACAAGGGGAAUACUUGGUGAAGAAAGACGUUGCUUUGUGGUAAGAGAGUGUUGCAUUUUAAAUCACACAUUUAUCAUUCCCCAUGCCCC
Macaca fascicularis (crab-eating macaque) is the source of this 1547-nucleotide long non-coding RNA. The record is from Ensembl. NCBI's taxonomy places the organism in Eukaryota, Metazoa, Chordata, Mammalia, Primates, Cercopithecidae.